Parus major (Great Tit) is the source of this 1212-nucleotide long non-coding RNA. RefSeq lists it as uncharacterized. Lineage: Eukaryota; Metazoa; Chordata; Aves; Passeriformes; Paridae. The record is from RefSeq and is a predicted model, not a curated record. The transcript is spliced from 2 exons.
AAGGUAGUGGGGUGGUGUUGCUUUUCUUUUGCUUUAAAGCAAAUAAGUAAACUGACUGUCAUCACGGGGCUAUGGAAAAUCAUAAACAGCGAUCACAUUGCUUAGGCUUGAAUUAUUUGGGUAAGAAAUCAAUCAAAAAACUUAUAACACCAGAAAUCAACCCAAGGAUCCCAAGCAUUCGACCAGAGCUGGAAACAGCCUCUCCCAAGAGUCAGGGAUAUGUGCCCUGUCCCCUGCCCCGCAGAAGCUCAUCCUCCUGACAGGCGAACACCUUCCGCUCAUCCCUCAGUCCCUUCCCGGUGUCCCCGCGCUACGGCCGCGCUCCUCACGUACCGCCUAAACACCCUACACAGUCACGACAUCCUGUCACAACAGCUCAGCAGCUCCAGGCGGCAUCAACCCUCCGGUACGAGCAGGAAAACGGGAUGACGUGCGGAACACCGGCCCUUGCCUUCGAACCUCUGGCCUACGCCAGAUCAGGAGUGCCAAGUCCCGUCACUCCUUAAAACAACUCCAGGGACGGGAACUUCACCACCACCUCCCUGGGCAGUCACAUAAUCCCAAAACGGAACGGACCACAGUGGGCCACCAACGGUCCAGCAGGGCCAUCCCAGACCACAUGGCACAGGAUUGCGUCGACACAGUUCUGGAAUAUCUCCAGUGAGAGACUGCAGUAUGUUCCAGUGCUCAGUCACUGCACAGAAAAGAAAAGAAGUUCUUCCUCAUAUUCGGGUGGAACUUUUUGGCCAUCAGCUUCUGCCUGCUGCCCCUUGUCCCAUUCUUGGGGCCCGCGGAGCAGAGCCCGGCCACGCUCUGACCCCUCCCUGAAGACACUGACAGACAGGGGGUGAGGUCCUCUCUCGGCGCCUCCUCUCAAGGCUGAACAGACCCAGCUCCCUCAGCCCUUCGCCGGCAGAGAGACGCUCCAGUCCUAGAUCAACUUUGUAUCUCUAAACCCUGUCAAAGCAGCCUUCAUCCACUGGAGGUCCUUCAUCCCCAAUGAAGCUUCUUCUGGUCUAGGAUCAAAUUUUCGGCAUCAAACGCAUCAAAGUUAACAAGCCCCUGAUUGCAGAGUAUAAAUCCUGAGCAGCAGCCUGACCGAGGCUGGACCACUGCGAUCACAUGAAAGUUAAAUCCAUUUAGGAAAAAAAGGUGCAGGGCAACCGUCGUAUUUCAGAGCUUUAAAAGUUCUGCACCCUAGACCGUCACUGG